AUUGAACGCUGGCGGCAGGCCUAACACAUGCAAGUCGAGCGGAUGAAGGGAGCUUGCUCCUGGAUUCAGCGGCGGACGGGUGAGUAAUGCCUAGGAAUCUGCCUGUUAGUGGGGGAUAACGUCCGGAAACGGGCGCUAAUACCGCAUACGUCCUGAGGGAGAAAGUGGGGGAUCUUCGGACCUCACGCUAUCAGAUGAGCCUAGGUCGGAUUAGCUAGUUGGUGGGGUAAAGGCCUACCAAGGCGACGAUCCGUAACUGGUCUGAGAGGAUGAUCAGUCACACUGGAACUGAGACACGGUCCAGACUCCUACGGGAGGCAGCAGUGGGGAAUAUUGGACAAUGGGCGAAAGCAUGAUCCAGCAAUGCCGCGUGUGUGAAGAAGGUCUUCGGAUUGUAAAGCACUUUAAGUUGGGAGGAAGGGCAGUAAGUUAAUACCUUGCUGUUUUGACGUUAACAACAGAAUAAGCACCGGCUAACUUCGUG
Molecule: ribosomal RNA, 484 nt
Filed under: uncultured bacterium
Lineage: Bacteria
Description: partial 16S ribosomal RNA
Rfam family: Bacterial small subunit ribosomal RNA
Source: RNAcentral